UCAAACUAUAUAAUUUUGUCUUUAUAGAUAAUUAUCUAACUAACAAGAAAAUGUGACUCAUCAUUAGAAUUAAAUCACGUAAAAAUGAGACGGAAGGGUAAUAAAUAGGAGUAACUUCAUUUAUGCAGUAUCCUACCCAAAAAGAACUAACUCAACGGCCAAGAAUCCAUCCAACAAGGCGGAGCAAGAACCUGACCCGGCUUUGCAGUUGAAGGUGUCAGAGAUGAUCCAUUCCCUACGUGAGACAAAAGGCCAGAGCCUCCACUUACCAACACUUCUGUCGCUGUGUGAAAGCCCAAAACUAAAGAAGAAGAAAAUGCUCACUUUUCAACCAAACCUACCUUACCAACCCUAAUCCCUAUAUUCCCUCUAUCUUCAACUCUUUCCUUCCAAAGUAGAUGAUGUUCAAACACCAACUUCUAGGACCCAUUUCAGCUUUCUAUUUUAGGAACAUUCAAUGUACCUCGUCAGAUAUUGUAGAUCUGUACUGCUACUGAUCAUGGAUCACUCCUCUAUCCAAUCUUAAUUUUGUUGGUCUAGAUGUAGAAAUACAACUUGGAUGUGUUCAGUUUCAUCAUUUGGAGGGACAUUUUUGUUUUUAUCAAAGAUUGGAGCUCUUUUUAUCAAAGAUUUGAUUUUUCAUUUAUCAAAAGAUUGAAAAUUUAGCUUUACACAUGGCUGAUUAUCAAGUUUGGUCUAUGUUUAUGGUUUAUUGCACAACACAGAGCUAACUUUAUUUCUGGGGUUUACCAAGAAAGAGGAUCUGAGUGAUUUGGGUCUGUACAAAAUUCCCAUCCAAAUUUGAUUCUUGAAGAUAUGUAGCGUGAAUUGGGUGUUACUUUUCGGUUUGUAAUCAUAAAAAGAAAUAUUAUUUGAAGUUCACUGUUGAGGAAAAUUUAGCAAACCAGUGUUGUAUAGUUGUUAAAGAUGUCAUUCAAGAGUAUGAUUCAGGAAAUGAGGGGUGAAUUUGGGAGCAUUUCGCGUAAAGGGUUUCGUUCUAGGUCACAUAGGGUGGUUCAAGAUUGUACAGUGACAUUGGACGCUUUAAGGCAAAGUUGUUGGGCUAAUAUGCCGCCCGAGCUAUUGAGAGAUGUCCUGAUGAGGAUUGAGGCUUCCGACUCUACUUGGCCUCCGAGAAAAAAUGUGGUUUCUUGUGCUGGUGUUUGUAGGAGUUGGAGAGAAAUAAUGAAAGAAAUUGUUAAAACACCUGAAAUUUGUGGCAAAUUGACGUUCCCCAUAUCCUUGAAGCAGGUUUGACUCUCGAAUUUUAUGAGCUUUUAGUGUUCCAGUGUAUGCCUUUGCGUACUUGUUGUGUAUGCUAGGCAAACUAAAAAAAGUGCUAGUACAUUUUUGCUACAUUUACUCCUUUAAUCAGGGUGAGGCUCAACAGGAAAAUUCUGCAUGUUUUUAUGGUAGCUUAUACCUGGAGGAUAAAUAAAGUGUAUUAAAGCUUACACAUUGUAUUCCACUAAUAAUUGAUCUAGCGAUUUCUUGUUUUUUUUCAUAUGAAACUUUGGCCAUUUAGGGUUCGUCAUGAGGAACAGCUUUUGCUAAACCUAAGUUGUCAUUUGAAUGAAUAUGAGUUUUACAAGGUUGAGUGGUUGAGCAUUGGGCGUGCUUGCAUGCACUUUGACUAAUCCGCAGAUGACAAGCACAGGUCUCGGACAAUCCUGCUCCAGCCUUCAGAUGAAGUCAAACUGAGUGUUGUAACUAGAAGAGGAACUUGUGGUCUUCAAGUUGAUACUCUUAUGUCUGAACAAUUCAGUCAUCCCCUAGGGGAUCUGGAAUAUGCAAAUAAUAGUACACUGAAUCAAUAUGAGUAUGAAAGAACUAAGAAAGAAAAGAAAUAGCUUACCUUUAAAUCUUACUACAUAUGUAGAUUUAUGUAACCUUUGUUCUUUAUGUUCUGCAAGAGAGAGCAGAAAUUUAACUUACCCUCCCCUCUUGGAGUUUCAUGUUCCCCUUUAGAUUACUCUGGAGCUUAAUCAAGAGUAUGUGCUGUUAACGGUGUGCUUAACUCUAAUGUUCAUUACAAUUGCUGCUGAGCGCCUGCUUAGUUGCUAGAGGAAAGAUUUGUAGGGAAAUGACACGAAAAAUACAAUAAUAAUACUGCAAUAAUAUUAUUUGUGAGCAGAUACACUAAUUGGCUUGAGUCGUGCUGGGCACUGUCCUAAGAAACUAUUUCAGCAAUGUGAAAUGUUUCCCCAGGAUUAAACUAGCCUAUCUCCACUUGGGAGGAUAUAGGAAUAAGCAAAAUAUUGAAUUACAAACCCAGCUAUUUAAAAGAGGAAACAAACAAAGUAGACUGCAAAUGUUUUAAGGAGGAAAGAAAAGGAAGCUGAGAGGAACGAAAGAGGCAAAGCAAA
Molecule: long non-coding RNA, 2366 nt
Filed under: Nicotiana tabacum (common tobacco)
Lineage: Eukaryota; Viridiplantae; Streptophyta; Magnoliopsida; Solanales; Solanaceae
Description: long non-coding RNA (NTAB_LNC007969)
Source: RNAcentral